GACGAACGCUGGCGGCGUGCUUAACACAUGCAAGUCGAACGGAAAGGCCCUGCUUUUGUGGGGUGCUCGAGUGGCGAACGGGUGAGUAACACGUGAGUAUCCUGCCCUUGACUUUGGGAUAUCUUCAGGAAACUGGGGCUAAUACAGGGUAGGAGCUCCUGAUGCAUGGGGGGGGUUGGAAAGUUUCGGCGGUUGGGGCUGGACUCGCGGCUUAUCAGCUUGUUGGUGGGGUAGUGGCUUACCAAGGCUUUGACGGGUAGCCGGCCUGAGAGGGUGACCGGCCACAUUGGGACUGAGAUACGGCCCAGACUCCUACGGGAGGCAGCAGUGGGGAAUAUUGCACAAUGGGCGGAAGCCUGAUGCAGCAACGCCGCGUGCGGGAUGACGGCCUUCGGGUUGUAAACCGCUUUCGCCUGUGACGAAGCGUGAGUGACGGUAAUGGGUAAAGAAGCACCGGCUAACUACGUG
RNAcentral lists this ribosomal RNA (468 nucleotides) under uncultured bacterium. RNAcentral describes it as "partial 16S ribosomal RNA". It matches the Rfam family "Bacterial small subunit ribosomal RNA", at positions 28 to 507 of the family's 1533-position model. The record is from RNAcentral.